CCUACGGGAGGCAGCAGUGGGGAAUUUUCCGCAAUGGGCGAAAGCCUGACGGAGCAACGCCGCGUGAGGGACGAAGGCCUUUGGGCUGUAAACCUCUUUUCUCAAGGAAGAAGAUAUGACGGUACUUGAGGAAUAAGCCACGGCUAAUUCCGUGCCAGCAGCCGCGGUAAUACGGGAGUGGCAAGCGUUAUCCGGAAUUAUUGGGCGUAAAGCGUCCGCAGGCGGCUUUUCAAGUCUGCUGUUAAAACGUGGAGCUUAACUCCAUCAUGGCAGUGGAAACUGAAAGGCUUGAGUAUGGUAGGGGCAGAGGGAAUUCCCGGUGUAGCGGUGAAAUGCGUAGAUAUCGGGAAGAACACCAGUGGCGAAGGCGCUCUGCUGGGCCAUUACUGACGCUCAUGGACGAAAGCCAGGGGAGCGAAAGGGAUUAGAUACCCCUGUAGUCCUGGCUGUAAACGAUGAACACUAGGUGUCGGGGGAAUCGACCCCUUCGGUGUCGUAGCUAACGCGUUAAGUGUUCCGCCUGGGGAGUACGCACGCAAGUGUGAAACUCAAAGGAAUUGACG
RNAcentral lists this ribosomal RNA (563 nucleotides) under uncultured bacterium. Its description in RNAcentral is "bacterial SSU rRNA". It matches the Rfam family "Bacterial small subunit ribosomal RNA", at positions 338 to 915 of the family's 1533-position model. The record is from RNAcentral.